UCGUUUGGACCUCUUAACGAUUCUAUAGAGUCUGAGUUCGGGUCCUUGAGGAGUUUGGAUGGUGGUUUGGAAAAUUUUAGUUUGGGAGGGAGGUUUGAUAGGAAUUUGGAGGAGCGGAAGCUUUCUGGUUCCGGUUUUGAUCUUUUGAAAGGGAAUGUGAAAGAGGGAUUCGCAAACAAUGGAAUUAGUGAAUUGGAAUUGUAUUGUGCCGAAGGGAAUUGUGGGGAAAGUUGUGGAAUCGAUAAUGACUUGGAUAGUAGGCAAGAAUUUGUUAAUGGGAGAACCAGUGAGAGGG
RNAcentral lists this unclassified non-coding RNA (295 nucleotides) under Hevea brasiliensis (rubber tree). The record is from RNAcentral. Lineage: Eukaryota; Viridiplantae; Streptophyta; Magnoliopsida; Malpighiales; Euphorbiaceae.